This 111-nucleotide ribosomal RNA is filed under the name Microtus ochrogaster (prairie vole). The record is from RNAcentral. Lineage: Eukaryota; Metazoa; Chordata; Mammalia; Rodentia; Cricetidae.
AUCUACGGCCAUACCACCCUGAAUGAGCCUGAUCUCUCAUCUCAUCUCAGAAGCUAACCAGGGUCGGGCCUGGUUAGUACUUUGAUGGGAGAAUAUAGGGAGCAAUGGCCA